CCCUUAGAUGUUCUGGGCCGCACGCGCGCUACACUGAUGCAUUCAACGAGCACCCGCUGGGCCGAGAGGUCCGGCUAAUCUUUGAACGUGCAUCGUGCUGGGGAUAGAUGAUUGCAAUUAUUCAUCUUCAACGAGGAAUUCCUAGUAAACGCAAGUCAUCAGCUUGCAUUGAUUACGUCCCUGCCCUUUGUACACACCGCCCGUCGCACCUACCGAUUGAAUGGUCCGGUGAAAUUCUCGGACGCGGACUAGCGAUGUUAAUUCGGAGCUUGACUGUGGAAGUUAAUUAAACCUUACCAUUUAGAGGAAGGUGAAGUCGUANCA
RNAcentral lists this ribosomal RNA (324 nucleotides) under uncultured eukaryote. RNAcentral's name for it is "partial 18S ribosomal RNA". It matches the Rfam family "Eukaryotic small subunit ribosomal RNA", at positions 1470 to 1796 of the family's 1831-position model. The record is from RNAcentral.